RNAcentral lists this small RNA (372 nucleotides) under Xanthomonas campestris pv. campestris. Its description in RNAcentral is "ncRNA of unknown function". The record is from RNAcentral. Lineage: Bacteria; Pseudomonadati; Pseudomonadota; Gammaproteobacteria; Lysobacterales; Lysobacteraceae.
CCACGCCCCAGCAAACACAAACGCCAGACCAAUCAUCGCCGCAGUCAUCGUAGGAGCGCGCGCGCGCGCGAUGGGGCGUUACCGGGAAAGCCCUCGCGCGCAAGCCCGCUCCUACAACAGCGCUGUGGUUCGGGUUGCCGUAUUCACGUCGAUCAACACAGGCGAUGCGACGCAAGCACGCUCACUGCGCUGUCGCGCUGGCGCAAGGCGCGACGCAACGUGACUCAAUCGAGCUCCACUCCCCAGCAAUCACAAACGCCAGACCAAUCAUCACCCCGACCAUCGUAGGAGCGCGCUCGCGCGCGAUGGGGCGUUACCGUGAAGGCCCUCGCGCGCAAGCGCGCUCCUACAACAGCGCCCGAAACCAACAGC